Gavia stellata (red-throated loon) is the source of this 1289-nucleotide long non-coding RNA. RefSeq lists it as uncharacterized. The record is from RefSeq and is a predicted model, not a curated record. Lineage: Eukaryota; Metazoa; Chordata; Aves; Gaviiformes; Gaviidae. The transcript is spliced from 5 exons.
UUGUGUGUCCCACAUGACUGUGUUUCCCCUGUCUUUCACAUGGGCAGUAUUUAGUUCAAUUCAGAACUGCAGAUAGUAUAGCGUGCAGAGCAGCAAUGGGAUGUCUGAGCACAAGUGGCUGACUUCCAGGCGUCUUCAGGAAGCACAUUUGUACAUUUCUCCUGAAUUAAACUAGGAUUCUGCACACUUGACAUCCUCCCACCCUCCUUGUCUCUGCAGAAGGAGACAGCGACCUGCACGGCACAACAAAACAACAAAUCACCACAGAGCUGCAGACCAGCAAAUGAAGUGAACUGAGGGCAAUUUGACCAACAUCAUCUGUGUCGAUUCCCCAGAAGUCGAUGAAACAUGUUAUCGGUUCUCCAAGAAGGAAGUUUGGAAAACUGCCAGCUCCUUGCACAAAGAGUGAAAUAAGAUGGGCAGAGAAGGAUGUUGGUGUCGACAUUUGAGGAUGCUGUCAAGUCAAUGGAGUUCUGUUGUAGUGGUUGCUUCAGUGAACAUUCAACGCUGUCGGCCUUAACACGAAGAUAGCAACCUAACCACCACAUGAUGUUUCUCCCCCACCCUGCCAAGCUUUACAAAAAAGGUCACAAUCAACAUUCAUUGCUGUCGGUGGGUUUAACUAUGUGGACAAGCUCACUGAACAAUGAAUGCAACUGUGGCCCCACAUUUUACAGUUGCCGUUGAGAGGAACAAGGAACAUCAGCUCCGAGAGCAGUAGUGAGGAGCAAAGUAUUUCUUAUAGGCUACAUUUUUCUGGUCAAAAAAAUAGUUGGGGCUAUUCGCUUUUUGCUUCCUUGUUUUUAAGUGUGUUUAACUUAAACGACUAGAAAAAAAAUCACUGCCUUUUUCUGGAAUAUUUUCCUCCCAGGGUUCAGCAUCAUUGAAACAAAAAUUCUUAUUCAGUAUAUAUGUGGAAAUAAGUAAGGAUAUGGGGAACUCUGAGCAUAAGAAAGAAUAUUUAAAUCUCAUUUUAACUAGGCUUUGUGGAAUAGUUCAAAAAUUUCUUCAAUACUUGUCACGACAAAUACAAAUGGGAGCCAGAGUUCAAUGAUACAGAGAAAAUGUUAAAUCAAAAGAUUAAUUAAUUUUACAUAAAACUGCUUUUAAGCACCUAAAUAAAUGCUAUUACAUUUGCCUUUUUAGGGAUCUGAAAGAUGGCAGAGAAGUGUAUAUCCAGUAAUAAUUAUGGAAGUCAUUCAAUUGUAAAAUUACUGUAAACUUUGGGUACCUAUGUCAUACUGCCAGUAUUGCUGAUAGUAAUAAGAAAAUAAAAGUGUAAAUAAAGC